GUGGGGAAUAUUGGACAAUGGGCGAAAGCCUGAUCCAGCCAUGCCGCGUGGAGGAAGACUGCCCUCUGGGUUGUAAACUCCUUUUAUAUGGGAAGAACCGUCCUCAUUAAUGAGUGACCUGACGGUACCAUAGGAAUAAGCACCGGCUAACUCCGUGCCAGCAGCCGCGGUAAUACGGAGGGUGCAAGCGUUAUCCGGAUUCACUGGGUUUAAAGGGUGCGUAGGCGGAUAAAUAAGUCAGUGGUGAAAUCAACGGGCUCAACCUGUUAACUGCCAUUGAUACUGUGUAUCUUGAAUAUGAGAGAGGUAGGCGGAAUGUUGCAUGUAGAGGUGAAAUGCUUAGAUAUGCUACGGAACACCGAUUGCGAAGGCAGCUUACUAUUUCGUAAUUGACGCUGAGGCACGAAAGCGUGGGUAGCGAACAGGAUUAGAUACCCCAGUAGUCC
This 446-nucleotide ribosomal RNA is filed under the name uncultured bacterium. RNAcentral describes it as "partial 16S ribosomal RNA". It matches the Rfam family "Bacterial small subunit ribosomal RNA", at positions 354 to 796 of the family's 1533-position model. The record is from RNAcentral.